AGCUCCAAUAGCGUAUAUUAAAGUUGCUGCAGUUAAAAAGCUCGUAGUUGAAUUUGUGGCGCGGCCAUCCGGCGGGGGCUCUUCAUUGAGCCCGUUUGUCCUGGUUUUUGGCCGUUCCUUUCUCGGGUAGCGUGUGGCUGGCAUUAGGUUGUUGGCUGCUUCGCGCCCGUCUUUUACUGUGAAAUAAUAAGAGUGUGCCACGACGGUCUAUUUUGUUGGUUUGCACGUUGUGGUAAUGGUUAACAGGAAUAGUUGGGGGUAUUCGUAUUCAAUUGUCAGAGGUGAAAUUCUUGGAUUUGUGGAAGACGAACUACUGCGAAAGCAUUUACCAAGGAUGUUUUCA
RNAcentral lists this ribosomal RNA (343 nucleotides) under uncultured eukaryote. Its description in RNAcentral is "SSU rRNA". It matches the Rfam family "Eukaryotic small subunit ribosomal RNA", at positions 587 to 972 of the family's 1831-position model. The record is from RNAcentral.